Molecule: ribosomal RNA, 500 nt
Filed under: uncultured bacterium
Lineage: Bacteria
Description: bacterial SSU rRNA
Rfam family: Bacterial small subunit ribosomal RNA
Source: RNAcentral
GAUCCUGGCUCAGGAUGAACGCUAGCUACAGGCUUAACACAUGCAAGUCGAGGGGCAUCGGGGGUGUAGCAAUACACCUGCCGGCGACCGGCGCACGGGUGAGUAACACGUAUCCAACCUGCCAUGAACGUCCGGGAUAGCCCUCUGAAAGGAGGAUUAAUACCGGAUGUGACCUGGUGGGGGACACUCCCCCGCAGCUUAAAGAUUCAUCGGUUCAUGAGUGGGGAUGCGUCUGAUUAGCUUGUUGGCGGGUAACGGCCCACCAAGGCACCGAUCAGGUAGGGUUCUGAGAGGAACGGUCCCCACAUAGGAACUGAGACACGGUCCUAACUCCGUACGGGAGGCAGCAGUGGAGGGAUAUUGCACAAGUGGGGGGAACCCUGAUGCAGCAAACCGCCGCGUGAGUGAAGAAGUAAUUCGUUAUGUAAAGCUCUAUCAGCAGGGAAGAUAAUGACGGUACCUGACUAAGAAGCUCCGGCUAAGUACGUGCCAGCAGCCGC